AACGAACGCUGGCGGCAUGCCUAACACAUGCAAGUCGAACGAGACCUUCGGGUCUAGUGGCGCACGGGUGCGUAACGCGUGGGAACCUGCACUUAGGUUCGGAAUAACUCCCCGAAAGGGGUGCUAAUACCGGAUAAUGUACUCGGACAAAAGAUUUAUCGCCUUUGGGUGGGCCGGCGUUGGAUUAGCUAGUUGGUAGGGUAAAAGCCUACCAAGGCGACGAUCCAUAGCUGGUCUGAGAGGAUGAUCAGCCACACUGGGACUGAGACACGGCCCAGACUCCUACGGGAGGCAGCAGUGGGGAAUAUUGGACAAUGGGCGAAAGCCUGAUCCAGCAAUGCCGCGUGAGUGAUGAAGGCCUUAGGGUUGUAAAGCUCUUUUACCCGGGAUGAUAAUGACAGUACCGGGAGAAUAAGCUCCGGCUAACUCCGUG
Molecule: ribosomal RNA, 433 nt
Filed under: uncultured bacterium
Lineage: Bacteria
Description: partial 16S ribosomal RNA
Rfam family: Bacterial small subunit ribosomal RNA
Source: RNAcentral